CUGACCUGCUUGAGUUCCAGU
Molecule: non-coding RNA, 21 nt
Filed under: Mus musculus (house mouse)
Lineage: Eukaryota; Metazoa; Chordata; Mammalia; Rodentia; Muridae
Source: RNAcentral